RNAcentral lists this long non-coding RNA (230 nucleotides) under Gallus gallus (chicken). The record is from RNAcentral. Lineage: Eukaryota; Metazoa; Chordata; Aves; Galliformes; Phasianidae.
GGAUGAUGAAGUGAAGAGAUGCUCAUCUUUCACUUCUUGCUAAAGGUAAGAAAACAGGAAAGGGGUGCAAAACUGUCUGAUUUUUUAUUUUUUGGUCCUGAGGAGAUGUUGUCUGAUCUAUUCACACUGCUCUGUUGAAGAACUUCCAGAUGUCUGGAUUUAAGGAGAAGGUGGUAACAAAGUGCGUUUCGCUGCACAAGUCUUCCUUCUGUCUCUGAAGAACAUUUUAC